UACGUAGGCAGCGAGCGUUGUUCGGAGUUACUGGGCGUAAAGGGUGUGUAGGCGGCUUUUUAAGUUUGGUGUGAAAUCUCCCGGCUCAACCGGGAGGGUGCGCCGAAAACUGGGAGACUAGAGUGCGGGAUGGGAGAGUAGAAUUCCUGGUGUAGCGGUGAAAUGCGUAGAUAUCAGGAGGAAUACCGGUGGCGAAGGCGGCUACCUGGACAAAUACUGACGCUGAGGCGCGAGAGCGUGGGGAGCAAACAGG
This 253-nucleotide ribosomal RNA is filed under the name uncultured bacterium. RNAcentral describes it as "partial 16S ribosomal RNA". It matches the Rfam family "Bacterial small subunit ribosomal RNA", at positions 524 to 776 of the family's 1533-position model. The record is from RNAcentral.